AGAUGUGAGGUAGAUCUGACUGCGACAUCUAUCAUGCCAUUGAUUAUCAGGGUUAUUUGGCUGAUUUGACUGGCUAGGAAGGUGUUCCCUUCCUUCCUCCCAGCUCUAUGUAUAUUCUUCCUGUAACUGCAUGCCUGCACAAAGAGGAUGACAUUCCUUGAUAAAGGAAAAUACUGUUCUUUGUUCAAAGAUAUACAAGUAGCUGCCCUCCCCUACAAGAAUUUCCAAACAAGCUCUCAAGGCAUUCUUAGUAUUCUUAACAGUGUUCUACUUAAUGGCAAAAACAAACAAACAAAACCCCAAAACUUUGCUUU
Unclassified non-coding RNA from Bison bison bison, 314 nucleotides. Its record names the gene 7SK. It matches the Rfam family "7SK RNA". Rfam says of the family: 7SK was discovered as an abundant small nuclear RNA in the mid-70s but a possible function has only recently been suggested. Two independent studies have found that 7SK RNA binds the CDK9/cyclin T complex (known as elongation factor P-TEFb). The record is from Ensembl. NCBI's taxonomy places the organism in Eukaryota, Metazoa, Chordata, Mammalia, Artiodactyla, Bovidae.